RNAcentral lists this ribosomal RNA (253 nucleotides) under uncultured prokaryote. Its description in RNAcentral is "partial 16S ribosomal RNA". It matches the Rfam family "Bacterial small subunit ribosomal RNA", at positions 524 to 776 of the family's 1533-position model. The record is from RNAcentral.
UAGAGAGGUCCCAAGCGUUGUUCGGAUUCACUGGGCGUAAAGGGUGCGUAGGUGGUCGGGUAAGUCUGAUGUGAAAUCUCUGGGCUCAACCCAGAAAUGGCAUUGGAUACUAUCCGGCUAGAGGAGUGGAGGGGGGACUGGAAUACUUGGUGUAGCAGUGAAAUGCGUAGAUAUCAAGUGGAACACCAGUGGCGAAGGCGAGUCCCUGGACACUUCCUGACACUGAGGCACGAAAGCUAGGGGAGCAAACAGG